Molecule: ribosomal RNA, 253 nt
Filed under: uncultured bacterium
Lineage: Bacteria
Description: partial 16S ribosomal RNA
Rfam family: Bacterial small subunit ribosomal RNA
Source: RNAcentral
UACGGAGGAUGCAAGCGUUAUCCGGAAUGAUUGGGCGUAAAGCGUCCGCAGGUGGCAAUGUAAGUCUGCUGUUAAAGAGUCUAGCUCAACUAGAUACAAGCAGUGGAAACUACAUAGCUAGAGUACGUUCGGGGCAGAGGGAAUUCCUGGUGUAGCGGUGAAAUGCGUAGAGAUCAGGAAGAACACCGGUGGCGAAAGCGCUCUGCUGGACCUUAACUGACACUGAGGGACGAAAGCUAGGGGAGCGAAUGGG